UGGGGAAUCUUGGACAAUGGGGGCAACCCUGAUCCAGCCAUGCCGCGUGAGUGAUGAAGGCCUUAGGGUCGUAAAGCUCUUUCGCCUGUGAAGAUAAUGACGGUAGCAGGUAAAGAAACCCCGGCUAACUCCGUGCCAGCAGCCGCGGUAAUACGGAGGGGGUUAGCGUUGUUCGGAAUUACUGGGCGUAAAGCGCACGUAGGCGGACCAGAAAGUUGGGGGUGAAAUCCCGGGGGCUCAACCCCGGAACUGCCUCCAAAACUAUUGGUCUAGAGUUCGAGAGAGGUGAGUGGAAUUCCAAGUGUAGAGGUGAAAUUCGUAGAUAUUCGGAGGAACACCAGUGGCGAAGGCGGCUCACUGGCUCGAUACUGACGCUGAGGUGCGAAAGCGUGGGGAGCAAACAGGAUUAGGAUACCCUGGUAGUCCACGCCGUAAACGAUG
RNAcentral lists this ribosomal RNA (441 nucleotides) under uncultured bacterium. RNAcentral's name for it is "bacterial SSU rRNA". It matches the Rfam family "Bacterial small subunit ribosomal RNA", at positions 355 to 811 of the family's 1533-position model. The record is from RNAcentral.